This 420-nucleotide ribosomal RNA is filed under the name uncultured bacterium. RNAcentral's name for it is "bacterial SSU rRNA". It matches the Rfam family "Bacterial small subunit ribosomal RNA", at positions 358 to 770 of the family's 1533-position model. The record is from RNAcentral.
GGAAUAUUGGACAAUGGGCGCAAGCCUGAUCCAGCCAUGCCGCGUGUGUGAAGAAGGCCUUCGGGUUGUAAAGCACUUUCAGCGAGGAGGAAGGGGUUGUUGUUAAUAGCAACAAUUUUUGACGUUACUCGCAGAAGAAGCACCGGCUAACUCCGUGCCAGCAGCCGCGGUAAUACGGAGGGUGCAAGCGUUAAUCGGAAUUACUGGGCGUAAAGCGCACGCAGGCGGCUUUUUAAGUCGGAUGUGAAAGCCCCGGGCUCAACCUGGGAAUUGCAUUCGAUACUUGGGAGCUAGAGUAUGUGAGAGGGGGGUAGAAUUCCAAGUGUAGCGGCGAAAUGCGUAGAGAUUUGGAGGAAUACCAGUGGCGAAGGCAGCCUCCUGGGCCAACACUGACGCUCAUGCACGAAAGCGUGGGGAGCA